AUUGAACGCUGGCGGCAUGCCUUACACAUGCAAGUCGAACGGUAACAGGGAGCUUGCUCCGCUGACGAGUGGCGAACGGGUGAGUAAUACAUCGGAACGUGCCCAGUAAUGGGGGAUAGCUCGGCGAAAGCCGGAUUAAUACCGCAUACGCCCUGAGGGGGAAAGUGGGGGACCGCAAGGCCUCACGUUAUUGGAGCGGCCGAUGGCUGAUUAGCUAGUUGGUAGGGUAAAGGCCUACCAAGGCGACGAUCAGUAGCUGGUCUGAGAGGACGAUCAGCCACACU
RNAcentral lists this ribosomal RNA (284 nucleotides) under uncultured bacterium. RNAcentral describes it as "partial 16S ribosomal RNA". It matches the Rfam family "Bacterial small subunit ribosomal RNA", at positions 30 to 314 of the family's 1533-position model. The record is from RNAcentral.